UCCGAGUUGACCCCGGCAGUCUCCCAUGAGUCCCCGGCAUUACCCGCUGGCAACAUGGAACGAGGGUUGCGCUCGUUGCGGGACUUAACCCAACAUCUCACGACACGAGCUGACGACAACCAUGCACCACCUGUGAACAGUCCCUUGCGGACCCGACAUCUCUGCCGGAUUACUGCCCAUGUCAAGCCUUGGUAAGGUUCUUCGCGUUGCAUCGAAUUAAUCCGCAUGCUCCGCCGCUUGUGCGGGCCCCCGUCAAUUCCUUUGAGUUUUAGCCUUGCGGCCGUACUCCCCAGGCGGGGCGCUUAAUGCGUUUGCUGCGGCACGGAACUCGUGGAAAGAGCCCCACACCUAGCGCCCAACGUUUACGGCGUGGACUAC
RNAcentral lists this unclassified non-coding RNA (378 nucleotides) under uncultured Actinomycetes bacterium. Its description in RNAcentral is "uncultured actinobacterium contains 16S-23S intergenic spacer region". Lineage: Bacteria; Bacillati; Actinomycetota; Actinomycetes. The record is from RNAcentral.